RNAcentral lists this ribosomal RNA (251 nucleotides) under uncultured prokaryote. Its description in RNAcentral is "partial 16S ribosomal RNA". It matches the Rfam family "Bacterial small subunit ribosomal RNA", at positions 525 to 775 of the family's 1533-position model. The record is from RNAcentral.
ACGUAGGAGGCGAGCGUUAUCCGGAUUUACUGGGCGUAAAGCGCGUGCAGGCGGUUUAGAAAGUUGGAUGUGAAAGCUUCUGGCUUAACUGGGAGAGGUCGUUCAAUACUUCUAGACUAGAGUAUGGGAGAGGGAGGUGGAAUUCCGGGUGUAGUGGUGAAAUGCGUAGAUAUCCGGAGGAACACCAGUGGCGAAAGCGGCCUCCUGGCCCAUUACUGACGCUCAGACGCGAAAGCUAGGGUAGCAAACGG